RNAcentral lists this ribosomal RNA (253 nucleotides) under uncultured bacterium. RNAcentral's name for it is "partial 16S ribosomal RNA". It matches the Rfam family "Bacterial small subunit ribosomal RNA", at positions 524 to 776 of the family's 1533-position model. The record is from RNAcentral.
UACGUAGGAGGCAAGCGUUGUCCGGAAUUACUGGGCGUAAAGCGCGUGUAGGUGGUGGGACAAGUCUGCUGUGAAAGCGCCUGGCUUAACCGGGCGAGGUCGGCGGAAACUGUCGCACUCGAGGACGGUAGAGGGGGGUGGAAUUCCCGGUGUAGUGGUGAAAUGCGUAGAGAUCGGGAGGAACACCUGUGGCGAAGGCGGCCCCCGGGCCGGCCCUGACACUGAGACGCGGAAGGCGUGGGGAGCGAACGGG